RNAcentral lists this ribosomal RNA (207 nucleotides) under uncultured bacterium. RNAcentral's name for it is "partial 16S ribosomal RNA". It matches the Rfam family "Bacterial small subunit ribosomal RNA", at positions 1294 to 1500 of the family's 1533-position model. The record is from RNAcentral.
CGGAUUGGAGUCUGCAACCCGACUCCAUGAAGCUGGAUUCGCUAGUAAUCGCGCAUCAGCCACGGCGCGGUGAAUACGUUCCCGGGCCUUGUACACACCGCCCGUCACACCAUGAGAGUUGGGAAUACCCGAAGCCUGUGAGCUAACGUUAAGAGGCAGCAGUCGAAGGUAGAAUCAAUGAUUGGGGUGAAGUCGUAACAAGGUAGC